This 503-nucleotide ribosomal RNA is filed under the name uncultured bacterium. RNAcentral's name for it is "partial 16S ribosomal RNA". It matches the Rfam family "Bacterial small subunit ribosomal RNA", at positions 30 to 523 of the family's 1533-position model. The record is from RNAcentral.
AUUGAACGCUGGCGGCAGGCUUAACACAUGCAAGUCGAGCGGGGUGAUGGUGCUUGCACUAUCACUUAGCGGCGGACGGGUGAGUAAUGCUUAGGAAUCUGCCUAUUAGUGGGGGACAACAUCUCGAAAGGGAUGCUAAUACCGCAUACGUCCUACGGGAGAAAGCAGGGGAUCACUUGUGACCUUGCGCUAAUAGAUGAGCCUAAGUCGGAUUAGCUAGUUGGUGGGGUAAAGGCCUACCAAGGCGACGAUCUGUAGCGGGUCUGAGAGGAUAAGCCGCCAAACUGGGACUGAGACACGGCCCAGACUCCUACGGGAGGCAGCAGUGGGGAAUAUUGGACAAUGGGGGGAACCCUGAUCCAGCCAUGCCGCGUGUGUGAAGAAGGCCUUAUGGUUGUAAAGCACUUUAAGCGAGGAGGAGGCUCUUUUGGUUAAUACCCAAGAUGAGUGGACGUUACUCGCAGAAUAAGCACCGGCUAACUCUGUGCCAGCCGCCGCCGUAA